This 330-nucleotide ribosomal RNA is filed under the name Triticum aestivum (bread wheat). RNAcentral describes it as "partial small subunit ribosomal RNA". Lineage: Eukaryota; Viridiplantae; Streptophyta; Magnoliopsida; Poales; Poaceae. The record is from RNAcentral.
AUGUCGAGCUCCACUUCAGCCUCCUGCCCCUCGUGGACCCAGUAUGGUCCACUUCCCAUGGAGCGAUUUCUUGACUGCCCACGCAGAGCGCCACUGAUAAGGUUUACUUUGAAGGAGGUCAAGAAUGGCAACUAUGGGCGCGAGUUUGUGAAAUGCGAGAGCAAGCCAGAGGGGCAGAUAGUGAAGAAAUGCACACAUUUUGAAUGGUUGGAUGACUACGUUAAGCGGAUUCAAUUCAAUGGGGCCCCAACCCGGGAGCUCAAUCUGCCGUCAGCAACAACGAAUUUGGUCUCUGAAAGUGCUGCUCUCACAGUUGGGAUGCAGAUCUGA